AGGGUGGGGCUUGGAUGCCUUCUCCUUGAGUCUAUGGGGAAAUUUUCUCCCUUUUCUGGUUUACAAGACCAGUGUCAUUACUAUACUACGCAGACUCUUCAUUUUAAAAGACGCGAGGCGCUGAGACCGCACCUUCUGGGAUGUGGGACUCCGAUCCCCCAAGGCGAUGGAUGGUGUUCAUGUGAAAGCUGGUCGGCCGGAAACACACUCUCGAAGGAACGGUUCCAAGAGCAUUUAGUUCUUCUGACCUGAAUCUCAGUCAUUCUGAACCUAACAAAUACUCGUUAAGUGUCUCCUCUAUGCCAGCUUCCGGGGCUGCAACAGGGGAAGCGAAUGGGAUUGAAGUCGUCCCUGCCUUCCUUCCCCUUAGAGGCGACAGAUAAGUCGUAUUUUUAUUGGAUACGUGUUGCAAGGAGAACUCUCCUAGACCCCGUGAGGGCGACAAAGACCAAAAUAUGUAUGAAAAUGCCUCAACCGCUGGAGCACCUGGGGGAAGAAGAUAGGGAUAACACACUUAAUUACAAGACUGAAAUUUAGAUGCAGGCAGAACACCUUUAGCCUCACUAAAGGAUGUUGUGUUGACCGAAACUAGAUUUCGAAGGAGAAGGUCCUAUUAGUGUCACAAAUUCAACUGAGGUCCAAGAAGCUAAUGAAGCUUAAGCUUCUGACGUUCCUGACUUGCACAAGUCAUUCCCUGGGUGAUGAGUGUGGACAAUUCGGAGCAGUUAAGGUUAGCAGUUGCUCCACACACACACAAAAUUGCAAUGCCCACAUCAGAAACAUACAGGGCCAAUGACACUUUUAGGGGUCCUCGAAAAAAAUUAUUUUUGAAUUCAGAAGGAAAAAAGAAUGUAAUCCAGCCUAGCUUAGGUUCAUCAUUAUACCAACUCA
Molecule: long non-coding RNA, 891 nt
Organism: Phyllostomus discolor (pale spear-nosed bat)
Lineage: Eukaryota; Metazoa; Chordata; Mammalia; Chiroptera; Phyllostomidae
Exons: 3
Source: RefSeq, a predicted model, not a curated record